This is a non-coding RNA of Paramisgurnus dabryanus, 1317 nucleotides long. NCBI's taxonomy places the organism in Eukaryota, Metazoa, Chordata, Actinopteri, Cypriniformes, Cobitidae. The record is from RefSeq and is a predicted model, not a curated record.
UUAAAGAGCACCUAUUAUGGGAUACACGUUUUUAAACAUCAUUUUGUGUGUAAGUGUGUAUUAGUACAUGCUAACGAUAUUCAAAAAGUACAUACCUCAAAGAAAACGAUGACGCGAGUUAUCGUCUCUAACGUUCGAGGACUACAAAAAACACUCGGAUUGUAGGCAACAGUUUACUUCCUGGGAUUAGUGACGUAGAUAAGACCAACAUUAUCAUAGUUCAGCCCUCUCUGCUUUGCUUGGGUACGCCCUCAAAGACGAGGGUGGGGUGGGGAGCGCCGAGUCAGAAGAGAGCUAAAAUGGCGGAGGUUGUGAGUCCCUGCUUUGACUCUGUUUGCAAACUCUUGUUUCAUCGUUUAAGCGAUUAAAUCUCUCGAGUAGACGCUGUCUCUUUAGAUGCAAGGGCAAAAUAGCACUUUAUGGACUUCCACAGAGGACAUCAUGUUUAAUACGGUUCCGGAAAAAUCCAGUCAGAAGUUGUUCACGGAGUUUUCACAAUAACUGCUUCUCAUGAACCGAAGCUGGACGUCUCCUCCUGAAAGUUGGAUUAACGUUACUGUGCACUUCUGGAUCACAGGCUAUUCGCAGCUGGACACAUCCUUCUACACUGUAUGCAAACAUGCAACAUCAUAACACACAGUACAAGGAGUCAGACUGGCAUAUGAGGAGCAAAGGAACCCAGACAGUAGCAUCGUUUCACAAUGUUUCCAUCACCAUCAUCAGUGGAUGCCUUUGCCGUCCAUAGCCUGAGAUUUCAGAUUUGCAGCAAAAAAAAUUGAUUUUCUCAUUUAUUGGAAUGCUAUGCAGGUUGUACCUUGCAGCCAUCCAUUACAAUGUCACCAAGCCGUAACAAAAGCAGGAGAGGAAAAGUACAAGGCUAUGUUCCCAAAACACACAAAUGACAUACCUUAUGUGGAUGAUGUGAUCAGGCUUCUGUUUGCUGAGGUAUUUGAAGAUAAGCUGAAGGAAACCCCGAUUCCAAUGGACCUGGCAUCACAGUUUGAGAGACCUUCAAAGGAGGACGUGAUUGCAUGCCAUCUUGAGUGCAGGGUUCGUCGGAAGCCAACAUUCCGAUCAGGAAGCUCCAAGCGUAUCUGGAGAACAACACACGACAGGGUGAUAACCCUAAAGUGUCAUCUUAGAUAGCAUCAGCUGACAAAGCUUUGAUAUGCCAUUUAUCUGAAUAGAUAGCUGUAAGAAGUGAAUUGAACAAUUUUUGAAAGAAGAGCACAAUAUGGUUACUAAAGUAUGUUUAUUUGUAUAUUGUUUAACAUUUAAAUAUAUAUUUGUAAUAAAUAAACUUUUGACUGACUACUA